RNAcentral lists this transfer-messenger RNA (352 nucleotides) under Candidatus Atribacteria bacterium. It matches the Rfam family "transfer-messenger RNA". From Rfam's summary of the family: Bacterial tmRNA, also known as 10Sa RNA or SsrA, is named for its dual tRNA and mRNA-like properties. Its role is to liberate the mRNA from a stalled ribosome. Lineage: Bacteria; Pseudomonadati; Atribacterota; Atribacteria. The record is from RNAcentral. RNAcentral also lists the same sequence under 3 other names.
GGGGGCGUCAGGGUUUCGACGGGACUCCUUGAAUUAGAAGAGGCGAGUCGAGGUCUCCACCGGGGCUCGUAAAAAAGGUGGUAAAAACAUAAACGCCGAAGAUAAUUUGGCACUUGCUGCUUAAUUAAAGCAGCACACCCUUGAACUCGGUGCUCACAGAGUUCAAGCAGGUGUCAAAUAGUGGGCAACCUUCUGGGAGUUCUCGGGUACCAGAAGCGAAAAUACCGAGAUAGUGAGUUGCUUUCCUGCCUCUGGGAAGGUAAUUCACGAAACUAAAAAACAGAGGCUACACUCGUAGGCUCUUCUAACUCUCGAGUUUCGGACGCGGGUUCGACUCCCGCCGCCUCCACCA